AGAUCGUCGGCAGGAGCUUAGACUGUUCAUACAGCGAAGUUUGGGGUUUGCGAUCAGCCUGAAUUUAUUGCAGUCAAGUGACCCUUUAUAGGAUGUAGAUGUAGGAGAGCAAAGAUUCCAGAUUCAAACUUGGAUUAACCUGGGGCCCAGCUCAGUUAGUGAUUUUGCCGACUUCCUGGAUGUUCAUUUCUGGUUCUGCACAAAAGAGUCACAUUUCCUUUUGGAAUCAGGACCAGGAGACAGAAGCGGACUCGGGAACUGUGAGUGCCCCCCGGUCUUCCCCGGCGCCUCUGACCCCUUCCUCCAUCUCGCCGCCUUCCCUGCCUUCAGCGCGGAGUUCCCUUUCUCCAGGGCUUCUUGUCUGAACUCACCCCCUCGGCUCUCAGCACCAUUCUCCACUUUUAGGAAAAGAAACUCUACAAUUUCUAUGCAAACAUCGGAUAAGAAGGGGAGGGGGAGUGACUUUGAUUUUCAUUUUAAGACUCUGAAAGACGGAGAAAGUAAGCAGAAGCGGGCUGGUGUAUUUCAGAGGCUCCCAGUGAGUCCCUACUAAAUUUACCUAAUAAAAUGAAUUUUUAAAAUUUUCGUUUUCUCAUUUCAUUCCAGCAGAAAAUGAGUUUGCCUUUAUAAUGUCCAGAUCUUUCCAACUCUAUUGAGUGAGAAAUUAACUUACAAAAUUUAAAUACUUUGGUACACACAUGCAC
RNAcentral lists this long non-coding RNA (704 nucleotides) under Homo sapiens (human). Its description in RNAcentral is "HSALNT0387679". The record is from RNAcentral. Lineage: Eukaryota; Metazoa; Chordata; Mammalia; Primates; Hominidae.